GACCCGAAGCCCAGUGACCCCAAAUCCGACAGACCCAGAACCCGGUCCUCCAUGGCGUUUUCCGGCGACUUCCAGAACUGAUUUCCGGUUGUUUCAGCAUGGUUUUCUGGUGGAUUUAUGAGAAACCCCCAAAGUAAAAGGUCGAUUCUGACGCUAAUGGAAAGUCCAGAUGACAACCGUAAGACGAAGUCCCUUUCUUGUAAGGGAGUAGACCUCGCUGAGAGCGAUAGUUCGUGAUGAACCAGCCAAACCCUAACAUUGUAUAGUACGAUUUGUUCCUUUUGGAGUUCAUGAUUUUGUAUAGAUUUAUAUAUAGAAAGGUUUAAGAGAGUAGAAGUUUUAAAUUUUUAGUUGUAAAUGCACGCUUUUAUUUAUAAUGUUUGUUUUUAGCACUUAAA
Alnus glutinosa is the source of this 398-nucleotide long non-coding RNA. RefSeq lists it as uncharacterized. The transcript has 3 exons. The record is from RefSeq and is a predicted model, not a curated record. Lineage: Eukaryota; Viridiplantae; Streptophyta; Magnoliopsida; Fagales; Betulaceae.